This 1437-nucleotide long non-coding RNA is filed under the name Struthio camelus australis. RNAcentral describes it as "lncRNA (ENSSCUG00000017459.1)". Lineage: Eukaryota; Metazoa; Chordata; Aves; Struthioniformes; Struthionidae. The record is from RNAcentral.
CAGUUGUGGUAUGACCUCCUCUUGUAAUAUCAUCUAUAUGAAUUCAAAUCAUAUUUUACCAGUGUGCCAAAAUUUUGAAGUUAAGAAACCUUCUCUGCGCAGUGUACUGUUAACUUCGGUUCCAUAAUUAAACCAGAACCUCUGUCCUGGACAGGUUCACUCAGCUUUGCCUGCCUUUGAGUAAUACACCUUCAGACCAGUGACUUCCUUUGAUGUAUUACAAUGAUAGACUGAAGAGUUCAUGUAAUACAUCAUCACAGUCAGCUGUUGCUGGACGCCAAGGAUUGAGAGACCGAGCCAGCUGUUUUUCUGAGCCCCAGGUGCAGCCUUCCAUCAGCCACUUCACUGCCUUUGCACAUAUGACUGUUAAUGAAGUAAGUGUCAAGUACCAGCAGAAUAAAACCAUUAUAACUGUGCAACACCCAAGAGCUUUCUGAAACUAAUCAAACUCUGUCAAAUUCUGGGAGGAAGAGAAGAGAUUUGAAAUGGAAAGGCUGGAAAGCUGUGAACAUCAUCUUUACUAGUACUUCUUCCAAAUACUUCUCUUUUUUUUUUUUUUUUUUUUUUUUUUUUUUUUUUUUUUUUUUUUUUGUAAAUCUAUUAUUGGUUAUGGCUUUGUAUAUGUAAACCUCAUAAUAUAGUUAGCAAACCCCUGAAGAUAAAUAGGUCCUGCCCUAAAACUUUAUCCUCUAGUUAUGGAAGGUUUGCACUACAAACAAAGGGUAAGUAUAUUUUACUAACAGUAAACGUACUUUUCUGUCUGUACUCGUAUAUUAUAAAUCAUACUGUUACAAGACAUUAAAUAUGGUUUUAUGGCAUGUCAUUCUGAGUCAAAAACAUACCAGUCCCAUAUAUACAAAGCUCCGUACCAGUACCACUCAUUAUGCUGAUUCAAAUAUAAUCAAAGAUUUUUAAAGAAAAGCUUUGCCUGGCAGACUUCAUCCUGGAUCAGAUAGUUUCGCAGACUGUCUUUUCACAGCCACCAUAAACCUAGCAUAAAUAUUGUGUCAUGUGCUCUGCCUUCCCCAGCAGAUCUGUGAUUUGAUGCUCACAUCUGAUCUAUUGCCAGUAAAGUAACUUGUUCUCUUCAUCUCCAGUGCUCCAAGGAGCUGGGUGUUUUCAGCUCCUCUUUGGUCUCAAAGCCAAUGCUUAGCACUUGGGCAAGGGCAAGUUCCAUAGAAUCACAUCUGUAUUUUAUUUCCAGCAGUUGAUUGUAGGUACAAAAUUCUAAGUGCAAAUGAUCUCUGUAACCAACUAAAGAUUUAUCCAUUCUAAACAAAGAAUUUUCUGUGCUUGCUUUGUCAGACCACCUCGUUUAAUCCCCAGGAUUACGUACAUGAUUGGCAAUCAACCUUGAAGCCUGAGCAAAACAUUUUACUCAGUCUUGGCUGCUCCUCUGUUAUUUUACUUUUGUUUUUAAAUUUUUUUUUUUGCCUU